RNAcentral lists this ribosomal RNA (1372 nucleotides) under uncultured bacterium. RNAcentral describes it as "bacterial SSU rRNA". It matches the Rfam family "Bacterial small subunit ribosomal RNA", at positions 28 to 1381 of the family's 1533-position model. The record is from RNAcentral.
GAUGAACGCUGGCGGCGUGCCCAAUACAUGCAAGUCGAGCGAACGGACGAGAAGCUUGCUUCUCUGAUGUUAGCGGCGGACGGGUGAGUAACACGUGGAUAACCUACCUAUAAGACUGGGAUAACUUCGGGAAACCGGAGCUAAUACCGGAUAAUAUUUUGAACCGCAUGGUUCAAAAGUGAAAGACGGUCUUGCUGUCACUUAUAGAUGGAUCCGCGCUGCAUUAGCUAGUUGGUAAGGUAACGGCUUACCAAGGCAACGAUGCAUAGCCGACCUGAGAGGGUGAUCGGCCACACUGGAACUGAGACACGGUCCAGACUCCUACGGGAGGCAGCAGUAGGGAAUCUUCCGCAAUGGGCGAAAGCCUGACGGAGCAACGCCGCGUGAGUGAUGAAGGUCUUCGGAUCGUAAAACUCUGUUAUUAGGGAAGAACAUAUGUGUAAGUAACUGUGCACAUCUUGACGGUACCUAAUCAGAAAGCCACGGCUAACUACGUGCCAGCAGCCGCGGUAAUACGUAGGUGGCAAGCGUUAUCCGGAAUUAUUGGGCGUAAAGCGCGCGUAGGCGGUUUUUUAAGUCUGAUGUGAAAGCCCACGGCUCAACCGUGGAGGGUCAUUGGAAACUGGAAAACUUGAGUGCAGAAGAGGAAAGUGGAAUUCCAUGUGUAGCGGUGAAAUGCGCAGAGAUAUGGAGGAACACCAGUGGCGAAGGCGACUUUCUGGUCUGUAACUGACGCUGAUGUGCGAAAGCGUGGGGAUCAAACAGGAUUAGAUACCCUGGUAGUCCACGCCGUAAACGAUGAGUGCUAAGUGUUAGGGGGUUUCCGCCCCUUAGUGCUGCAGCUAACGCAUUAAGCACUCCGCCUGGGGAGUACGACCGCAAGGUUGAAACUCAAAGGAAUUGACGGGGACCCGCACAAGCGGUGGAGCAUGUGGUUUAAUUCGAAGCAACGCGAAGAACCUUACCAAAUCUUGACAUCCUUUGACAACUCUAGAGAUAGAGCCUUCCCCUUCGGGGGACAAAGUGACAGGUGGUGCAUGGUUGUCGUCAGCUCGUGUCGUGAGAUGUUGGGUUAAGUCCCGCAACGAGCGCAACCCUUAAGCUUAGUUGCCAUCAUUAAGUUGGGCACUCUAAGUUGACUGCCGGUGACAAACCGGAGGAAGGUGGGGAUGACGUCAAAUCAUCAUGCCCCUUAUGAUUUGGGCUACACACGUGCUACAAUGGACAAUACAAAGGGCAGCGAAACCGCGAGGUCAAGCAAAUCCCAUAAAGUUGUUCUCAGUUCGGAUUGUAGUCUGCAACUCGACUACAUGAAGCUGGAAUCGCUAGUAAUCGUAGAUCAGCAUACUACGGUGAAUACGUUCCCGGGUCU